Molecule: ribosomal RNA, 484 nt
Filed under: uncultured bacterium
Lineage: Bacteria
Description: partial 16S ribosomal RNA
Rfam family: Bacterial small subunit ribosomal RNA
Source: RNAcentral
AUUGAACGCUGGCGGCAGGCCUAACACAUGCAAGUCGAGCGGAUGAAGGGAGCUUGCUCCUGGAUUCAGCGGCGGACGGGUGAGUAAUGCCUAGGAAUCUGCCUGGUAGUGGGGGAUAACGUCCGGAAACGGGCGCUAAUACCGCAUACGUCCUGAGGGAGAAAGUGGGGGAUCUUCGGACCUCACGCUAUCAGAUGAGCCUAGGUCGGAUUAGCUAGUUGGUGGGGUAAAGGCCUACCAAGGCGACGAUCCGUAACUGGUCUGAGAGGAUGAUCAGUCACACUGGAACUGAGACACGGACCAGACUCCUACGGGAGGCAGCAGUGGGGAAUAUUGGACAAUGGGCGAAAGCCUGGUCCAGCCAGGCCGCGUGUGUGAAGAAGGUCUUCGGAUUGUAAAGCACUUUAAGUUGGGAGGAAGGGCAGUAAGUUAAUACCUUGCUGUUUUGACGUUACCAACAGAAUAAGCACCGGCUAACUUCGUG